Molecule: ribosomal RNA, 521 nt
Filed under: uncultured bacterium
Lineage: Bacteria
Description: bacterial SSU rRNA
Rfam family: Bacterial small subunit ribosomal RNA
Source: RNAcentral
GCAAGUCGAGGGGCAGCACAGGUAGCAAUACUGGGUGGCGACCGGCAAACGGGUGCGGAACACGUACGCAACCUUCCUUUAAGUGGAGAAUAGCCCAGGGAAACUUGGAUUAAUACUCCGUAAGACAAUGGAGUGGCAUCACUCAGUUGUUAAAGUUACGACGCUUAAAGAUGGGCGUGCGGCUGAUUAGGUAGUUGGCGGAGUAACAGCCCACCAAGCCAACGAUCAGUAACUGGUGUGAGAGCACGACCAGUCACACGGGCACUGAGACACGGGCCCGACUCCUACGGGAGGCAGCAGUAAGGAAUAUUGGUCAAUGGACGCAAGUCUGAACCAGCCAUGCCGCGUGGAGGAUGAAGGCCCUCUGGGUUGUAAACUUCUUUUAUUUGGGAAGAAACCCAUCUUUUCUAAGGUGGUUGACGGUACCAGAUGAAUAAGCACCGGCUAACUCCGUGCCAGCAGCCGCGGUAAUACGGAGGGUGCAAGCGUUAUCCGGAUUCACUGGGUUUAAAGGGUGCGUA